AGUUGCGAACGGGUGAGUAACGCGUAGGUAACCUGCCUUGUAGCGGGGGAUAACUAUUGGAAACGAUAGCUAAUACCGCAUAACAGCUUUUGACACAUGUUAGAAGCUUGAAAGAUGCAAUUGCAUCACUACGAGAUGGACCUGCGUUGUAUUAGCUAGUAGGUAGGGUAACGGCCUACCUAGGCGACGAUACAUAGCCGACCUGAGAGGGUGAUCGGCCACACUGGGACUGAGACACGGCCCAGACUCCUACGGGAGGCAGCAGUAGGGAAUCUUCGGCAAUGGGGGCAACCCUGACCGAGCAACGCCGCGUGAGUGAAGAAGGUUUUCGGAUCGUAAAGCUCUGUUGUAAGAGAAGAACGUGUGUGAGAGUGGAAAGUUCACACWGUGACGGUAACUUACCAGAAAGGGACGGCUAACUACGUGCCAGCAGCCGCGGUAAUACGUAGGUCCCGAGCGUUGUCCGGAUUUAUUGGGCGUAAAGCGAGCGCAGGCGGUUUAAUAAGUCUGAAGUUAAAGGCAGUGGCUUAACCAUUGUUCGCUUUGGAAACUGUUAAACUUGAGUGCAGAAGGGGAGAGUGGAAUUCCAUGUGUAGCGGUGAAAUGCGUAGAUAUAUGGAGGAACACCGGUGGCGAAAGCG
Molecule: ribosomal RNA, 641 nt
Filed under: Streptococcus alactolyticus
Lineage: Bacteria; Bacillati; Bacillota; Bacilli; Lactobacillales; Streptococcaceae
Description: bacterial SSU rRNA
Rfam family: Bacterial small subunit ribosomal RNA
Source: RNAcentral